CCCGGCCACCAGCUCCCUCAGAAGCCGCGCACGUGCAGCGCCCGAGCGAUCGGACGGCUCAGAGCCACAGCCACCUCCGCGCACUGAGUGCUCACCACUUGUCCCCCACGACCACGACAGAGACAGAAGUGCAAGACUCCCUGGCGGAAUCUAGGGGUACUCCCCCGGGACAUCGCGGAAGGAGCGACAUGGUGCGCUUUCCUGGAGCCCCGGCUGCACGCAGCCAAUCCGGGAGAGAGCCCUGGCCUGUCGCCGCGCCCCGGGGAACCGGCAGCGUGGCUUCGUGGCUCUGCCCCAGGCUGGAACUGCGCGGGAUGCAAACGCGCGCGCUGCUGCGACUGCUCUCCGGCUCCUUUCCCCCACAGUCCUCCGCGCGCCUCACCUUCACGGAGUCCACCGGGUACAUGAUGGAGUGCUCCAGAAUCCCGGCCAUCGCUCCCGCUGUCAUGUGGGUGGACACCGAGGCGCUGGUCGGUAGGUUCUCGUAGUCCUCCGACCCGGCGUCCUUGCUGCCGCAGCCGCCAUCGCGGCAGUCCCCAUCCAUCCUCCGGCCCGCAGCCUGGUUCCCCACGCCGCCACGGCGGAGCUCCAUCCGCGGCCCCGCGGGGCGCGGGAGGCGGCAGGAGGUGGGCAGGAGGGGGAGGGGGAGGAAAACUUCACUUCUUAAAGUGGGAACCUCCUCCCCCGGGUUGCGGCGGCUGACGCCAUGGCGGGCUGGGGUGGAGCCGAGCGGCCAGAAGCACCAAUAGCUGGAGAAGAAGAGGCCGGCCGUGGCCGCGCUAUUGGUGCGCCGGGCAGAGGGCACCCACCUCUCUGUGUGACGUCGCUGCCCGCUGCACAUUUCCAAGCAACCGGACGGGGGCGAGAGCAGACAUUGGGGUGUCCCGGGAAGUUGUACUACCUAGAGGGUGGUGACCAUCUGCAAGGGACAGUCAGGUCCCUGGGGAGAGUCAGCAGAAGGGAUAUGCUCAGAGCUGCAAGAGCAGGAGAAGGGGCUGUCCCCAGAAUCGGUAGUUUUGCAGACACUAAUCAACCAGCUUUAGCAUUCCGAAGGCUGGGGAUCUGGUAGGAGGUGAGGUCUGUUACUGGGAAUGUCAAUUAUGAAGCGGAGUGGUUGGACAAUAGAGUGCUUGUAGGAAUCUAGAAUUGAGGAUACACUUGGAUAUGUGCUCGUUUUGUAUUCUGCUAGGGCCCAUUCCAGGGAAUGAACAGUUAACACUCAAGGUCCCCGCUUCUAGUCAGCUUUGCUUGGGAAUAAUCUUGGAGAUUGGGAAGUGUGUUUCUCUUCUGAAAACAACGAAGAGCUAAGUGUAUGCUGCUCUUGUUCUCUGAAGAUCCAAGUCCACCCUGUCCUGGAUAGACCAAGACAAUCGUAGCAGGGACAGAACCCUUCACUAAGCAGCUCCCUGGGACAUUUACUUGGGGUUUGUAAGAUCUUUAGCUGAUGUCACAGCAAGAGUGCUCAAGUGAACUGAAUAAAGCUUUGCAACACUGCCU
RNAcentral lists this long non-coding RNA (1497 nucleotides) under Mus musculus (house mouse). RNAcentral's name for it is "long non-coding RNA chr14:69284349-69285846". The record is from RNAcentral. Lineage: Eukaryota; Metazoa; Chordata; Mammalia; Rodentia; Muridae.